Non-coding RNA from Acanthosepion pharaonis, 97 nucleotides. Lineage: Eukaryota; Metazoa; Mollusca; Cephalopoda; Sepiida; Sepiidae. The record is from the annotation of a GenBank genome assembly.
UAAGACAGCGGUUUCCGUACGGUCAACGUAGUUAAGCAACGUCGAGCCUGGUCAGUACCUAGAUGGGUAAGCGCUUGGAAAUACCAUGUGCUGUAAG